This 25-nucleotide ribosomal RNA is filed under the name Anabaena sp. D0746. RNAcentral's name for it is "partial 23S ribosomal RNA". Lineage: Bacteria; Bacillati; Cyanobacteriota; Cyanophyceae; Nostocales; Nostocaceae. The record is from RNAcentral.
GGUCAAGCUAAUAAGAGCUAAUGGU